RNAcentral lists this long non-coding RNA (683 nucleotides) under Serinus canaria (Common canary). RNAcentral's name for it is "lncRNA (ENSSCAG00000000641.1)". Lineage: Eukaryota; Metazoa; Chordata; Aves; Passeriformes; Fringillidae. The record is from RNAcentral.
CCGCGGGGCAGGGAACGCGCGUCCCUCCCGCUGCUCCGGCCUCUCGUGCCGCGACCUUUCUGGUAUCUCCACCUACGUCCCCGUUCGCCGUGAGCUCACCACCGCACAGACGGGAUCUCCUCUGCCCCCAGAGCGCGCACGCCGGCACAACCUCGCCCGCCCCCGCGUUCCAGCGACGUGGCAGCGCCGCUGUUGCCUCCCGCCAGCAAAUGAAAGUCGAGCUUGAGAAUAGCCAGCUGAGAGUGUGGUCAGGGCAGAAACUGGGACGAGGUCCUGAGCUACUGGAGACUGGAAUUCCUGCAAAGGCUUUUCAGCAGACAGGCUGUGAGCAGUCUUUAAUUUGGGGGCAGCUCGGACACUUUUGAAGGGCAGCAAGCAAUGAUUACCUGCAAGAAGGAGACCCAAGGACAGAAAUGGAGCUGCAGAAGAACAGGAAAGAAUCAGAAGCAGCUGCAGCCCUCUCCCACAUCCUUCUGCAUUAUUUUGCCAUGCCAGAGGCAGGCAGCUGACCCACCUGAGUAGCUCUGGAAGACUAAUUGGCAGGAUGACUUUCACAGACCUUGACUGUGCAGAUGUUGCAAUCAACUGGAAGAACAUCUGAAAUACUUGAACAUUUGAGUGCAGAUAAGACAUUGUUGUAGUGCAACAAUAAAUUGACUGCCCUGUGAGGAGGUCUCCUCUUU